Molecule: ribosomal RNA, 428 nt
Filed under: uncultured bacterium
Lineage: Bacteria
Description: partial 16S ribosomal RNA
Rfam family: Bacterial small subunit ribosomal RNA
Source: RNAcentral
GUGGGGAAUAUUGCGCAAUGGGGGAAACCCUGACGCAGCAACGCCGCGUGAGUGAUGAAGGCUUUCGAGUCGUAAACCUCUGUCCUUGGUGACGAAGAAAGUGACGGUAGCCAAGGAGGAAGCCCCGGCUAACUACGUGCCAGCAGCCGCGGUAAUACGUAGGGGGCGAGCGUUGUCCGGAAUUACUGGGCGUAAAGGGUGCGUAGGUGGCCUUUUAAGUUGGAUGUGAAAUACCCGGGCUUAACUUGGGGGGUGCAUCUAAUACUGGGAGGCUAGAGUGCAGGAGAGGGAAGCGGAAUUCCUAGUGUAGCGGUGAAAUGCGUAGAUAUUAGGAGGAACACCAGUGGCGAAGGCGGCUUUCUGGACUGUAACUGACACUGAGGCACGAAAGCGUGGGGAGCAAACAGGAUUAGAAACCCUUGUAGUCC